UAGCCUUUCGAAAGAAAGAUUAAUACCGGAUAGCAUACGAAUAUCGCAUGAUAUUUUUAUUAAGGAAUUUCGGUUAUCGAUGGGGAUGCGUUCCAUUAGUUUGUUGGCGGGGUAACGGCCCACCAAGACAACGAUGGAUAGGGGUUCUGAGAGGAAGGUCCCCCACAUUGGAACUGAGACACGGUCCAAACUCCUACGGGAGGCAGCAGUGAGGAAUAUUGGUCAAUGGGCGAGAGCCUGAACCAGCCAAGUAGCGUGAAGGAUGAAGGCUCUAUGGGUCGUAAACUUCUUUUAUAUGGGAAUAAAGUAUUCCACGUGUGGAAUUUUGUAUGUACCAUAUGAAUAAGGAUCGGCUAACUCCGUGCCAGCAGCCGCGGUAAUACGGAGGAUCCGAGCGUUAUCCGGAUUUAUUGGGUUUAAAGGGAGCGUAGGUGGAUUGUUAAGUCAGUUGUGAAAGUUUGCGGCUCAACCGUAAAAUUGCAGUUGAAACUGGCAGUCUUGAGUACAGUAGAGGUGGGCGGAAUUCGUGGUGUAGCGGUGAAAUGCUUAGAUAUCACGAAGAACUCCGAUUGCGAAGGCAGCUCACUAGACUGUCACUGACA
Molecule: ribosomal RNA, 602 nt
Filed under: uncultured Bacteroidales bacterium
Lineage: Bacteria; Pseudomonadati; Bacteroidota; Bacteroidia; Bacteroidales
Description: bacterial SSU rRNA
Rfam family: Bacterial small subunit ribosomal RNA
Source: RNAcentral